UCUUGCCUACAAGGACAGACGGUUACGUUGUUACCGUUAACUGAAACUGAGCCUAUCACUUUUUGGCGGAACAUGUUUUUGAUCUGAUUGACGAGCUUACAUGAGCUCAUGGCAUAAGGCUCUGACAUUGUGCCACCGUGGAUGACAUACCAGCAUUCUGAAACGAUAGUGGCAGACGCCAACAGGUGAGAUGAUAGCCUUAAACAAAAGCCACCGACUACAAUGACAGAAGAUGGCGGAAAGAGAAGAGAGUUUUCUGAAUAACUCUGAAGGAAACAAGAAAACAGAAAGGUGGGAAACAUAUCUUCAGCGCUUCUAAGAAAGACAAUCUUUCACUUUCAGCAUUGCAGUAUCAGAAUGUGAAAGAGGCGCUCACCAUGGGACAGCUCGAAGAGCCAGAGGAGGCACGCCAGGAGCUUGAAGAAGAGCACCGCUCCCCUGCUCAACGCCAUUGGACUGAACCUUGAGAAGCCUCCACCAAGAAAGCCAAGGAAGAGCUCUUCACCAGCAACAGGCCAGCUGCUCGACCUGCCGCCCUCCCUCAACCCUCUGCUCCCCACCUCUCAACCUCGCUUGCCGCGUUCGAGCUGGUUUAUGUAGCCAGCCCGGCGUGGUGCGUUGGAGACUUUCGAGUGCUUGAAGGAAGGCAACAUCAGAGUGCUGGCUGAGGGUGCAUUGAAGAGAGCUCACCGGCUGCAGUAAGGGCCAUUCAAUGCCGAGGGAGCACUACCUUGGUACAACUGGGAUUUAUGGGCUUCAUCAACCAACCAACCAUCACAAAGCUGCGGCGAUGGCGCCCCUCCUAAGGGCUUGUUUGGCAGGGUUUCGGCUUCUCCAAAAAUAGCUCCGACUCUGGCUCUUCAGAUGGAGCGGUUUCUCUGGUAGAGCUGGAGCCGUUUUAGAAAAUGUUUAGCAAAAUAGCUUCACUUGUUAGAUUGAUGUGUAAGCCGUGUGAAGCCACGAUUUUAUGGCUUCACCUUGCCUGUGUAAGCCGCUGAUGGCUUCAAAACCGGAUUCACACGUGAAGCCGGUUACCAAACGGCCGUUUGGGAGGGCUUCGCCUGGAGCCGCUCGUGAAAUCCUCCCAAACAGGACUUAAAUUGCAAGAAUGACAGGCAGCACAGCUCUCCCUUUAUCUUCUCU
Panicum virgatum (switchgrass) is the source of this 1143-nucleotide long non-coding RNA. RefSeq lists it as uncharacterized. The transcript is spliced from 2 exons. NCBI's taxonomy places the organism in Eukaryota, Viridiplantae, Streptophyta, Magnoliopsida, Poales, Poaceae. The record is from RefSeq and is a predicted model, not a curated record.